UACGGAGGGUGCGAGCGUUGUUCGGAAUCACUGGGCGUAAAGGGCGUGUAGGCGGUCCGCUAAGUCUGAUGUGAAAGCCCGGGGCUCACCCCCGGAAGUGCAUUGGAAACUGGCGGACUCGAGUCCCGGAGAGGAGAGUGGAAUUCCUGGUGUAGCGGUGAAAUGCGUAGAUAUCAGGAAGAACACCGAUGGCGAAGGCAGUUCUCUGGGCCGUAACUGACGCUGAGGAGCGAAAGCGUGGGGAGCGAACAGG
This 253-nucleotide ribosomal RNA is filed under the name uncultured bacterium. RNAcentral describes it as "partial 16S ribosomal RNA". It matches the Rfam family "Bacterial small subunit ribosomal RNA", at positions 524 to 776 of the family's 1533-position model. The record is from RNAcentral.